Molecule: ribosomal RNA, 253 nt
Filed under: uncultured bacterium
Lineage: Bacteria
Description: partial 16S ribosomal RNA
Rfam family: Bacterial small subunit ribosomal RNA
Source: RNAcentral
UACAGAGGGUGCGAGCGUUGUUCGGAAUUACUGGGCGUAAAGGGCUCGUAGGCGGCCAACUAAGUCGGAUGUGAAAUCCCCAGGCUCAACCUGGGAACUGCAUCCGAUACUGGAUGGCUUGAAUUCGGGAGAGGGAUGCAGAAUUCCAGGUGUAGCGGUGAAAUGCGUAGAUAUCUGGAGGAAUACCGGUGGCGAAGGCGGCAUCCUGGACCGACAUUGACGCUGAGGAGCGAAAGCCAGGGGAGCAAACGGG